UUUAAUUCAUUUUUAUUUUUUUUCUUUUCUUUUUAUUUUUUCUUUUCUUUUAAUAAUUAUUUUUAUUUUAAAAAUUAAUUCCAAAUAAUAUAAUUUUGCUAAUAUUAUUUUUCCUAAUUAAUUCAAACUCCCUACUGUUCAUCUUCUUCCUCACCAAAAUUGAAACCCUAGAAUCCGUCGACCCACCCACCAGUCCAUCAGUCGCCUACCCAAAGCCAUAGAAUCCGGCCAGAACAAUACCCAACACCAUAUCAAAAUAAAAAACAGCCGAUUAACCAAAAGGCGGCACAGAAAAGAGAGAAAGGCGGCAGCAGCUGUGAGAUUAGAGAUUUAGAAAGACAAGACUAUAAUUUGUUGUGAGAUCAGAUUUGCUCUAUACUCAUUAUAUUCAUAGGGAUAUGCCGCCGCUGCCACUGCUGCUUUGGUUAUUGUUUUUGUUUACUCCUACCGCCACGGCCACCACCACGGCCACCAGGACUACGGACGACAGGCCAUUCACGGUGGCCUUCAGUGAACGUGAGGGUCUGUGAGAUUAGAGAUUUCAAUGAACGUGAGGGUCUGUAGAAGAAUUUUGUACAAGAGGCAAGAUCGAGCAAUUUCAGUGAACGUGAGGGUCUGUGAGAUUAGAGAUUUACAUAGAUACUUAACAAGAAAUUUGGGAUUCAACGAGAGAGAGGGUCUGUGAGAGAUGAGGUCUGUGAUGGUGAAGAUAACAAGAAAUUUGGGAUUUAGAUAGAUACUCAAUCGGCAUUUGAGAGAUAAGGUCUGAGAGAUACUCAAUUGGAAUAUUUAGAUAGAAAUUUGAGAGAUAAGGUCUGAGAAAUUUUUGUUCAGAUGUAAUUUUGGAUCGGAAAAAGAAAAGAGA
Molecule: long non-coding RNA, 865 nt
Filed under: Panax ginseng (ginseng)
Lineage: Eukaryota; Viridiplantae; Streptophyta; Magnoliopsida; Apiales; Araliaceae
Description: long non-coding RNA (PGIN_LNC007233)
Source: RNAcentral